GACGAACGCUGGCGGCGUGCUUAACACAUGCAAGUCGAACGGAGUGGCGAACGGGUGAGUAACACGAGGGUGAUCUGCCUUGCACUCUGGGAUAAUCUUGGGAAACUGGGUCUAAUACCGGAUAGUGCAAGUUGAGCUCGUGGCCUAGCAGCUUGUUGGUGGGGUAAUGGCCUACCAAGGUGGCGACGGGUACCCGGCCUGAGAGGGUGUACGGCUACAGUGGGACGUAGAUACGGCCCAGCCUCCUACUGGAGGCAGCAGGGGGAAAUAUUGCACAAUGCGCGGAAGACUGAUGCAGCGACGCCGAGGGGGGGAUGACGGCCUUCGGGUUGUAAACUCCUUUCGACAGGGACGCGGUACCUGGAUAAGGAGCACCGGCUAACUACGUGCCAGCAGCCGCGGUAAUAC
This 408-nucleotide ribosomal RNA is filed under the name uncultured bacterium. RNAcentral's name for it is "partial 16S ribosomal RNA". It matches the Rfam family "Bacterial small subunit ribosomal RNA", at positions 28 to 526 of the family's 1533-position model. The record is from RNAcentral.